Orcinus orca (killer whale) is the source of this 3769-nucleotide long non-coding RNA. RefSeq lists it as uncharacterized. The transcript has 2 exons. The record is from RefSeq and is a predicted model, not a curated record. Lineage: Eukaryota; Metazoa; Chordata; Mammalia; Artiodactyla; Delphinidae.
GCAGAUCAGGAACUAUCUCCCUUUUCCGAGGUGACGAAACUUAGGCCCAAGAAAGGUCAGUGAACUGUCCAGGGUCCUACAGCUGGAACCUGGUAGAUUCCAACUCUGCUUUCUUGUCCUCUGCCCAGCACAUUCUCCACUUGGUAGGCCCGAAAGGAGGAGAGGGACAGGAAAGGGAGGCCUCUCUUGCCUUUGUGCUUUCCCUCCACCACGUCACCUUGGCCUCUGAGGGAAAGGGACUUGCCCGAGUCACAGUGCCGGAGCCACGCCGCUGCCUCCGGGCCUGGGGAAGAUGCCGUCUCCACCUUCUGGAAAGUUGGCUUUUCUAAGGGCACUCCCAUGGGAUGGGCCUUGGAGAGUGGCUCUGGAGGCUGGUCCAGGCUCUGCAGGGGCGAGGUAGGCUUUGCCUGGACGAUGCUGCCCUAGAGGACAUGGUCCUCAGAGUGCCACAAUGGCCUUGACUCUCCGGGGAGAGGCCUGUGGGAAAUCCCAGAGGCCCAGUCACCAAAUACAGAAUCUGGAUAAUGGAAGUGGGGAAAGAAGACUUCUGGCUUCUGUGAGCCUCUGGGCACUUCCACCUGAGGCGGCACAGUGUGCCAGCGUUGCAGUGUUAGCUCUUUCUCAGACUCUUUCCUCCAGCUCAGCUCCCCUGUGGUUUGGGGCCCAGCAGUGUGUAGGGCGGUCUCUGCUUCCCACCCCCAUCAGCCGGACAGCAAAGGGAAGUGGACCCACUCACUGAGCAGUGACAGCCAGUGAGAAGCAGUUGGAGUGGGGAGAGUACAGCUGGAAGUGGCAGCCACCCCAGGACCUGAGAUGGGGCAGGAUGUACACCCCAGUGCCCUGAUGCUCGGCUUCUCAGCUGGUUCAGUCUCCGUCUGGAAGCUACUCCCCUGACAAAGGGGCUCCCCCACGGAGCACCUGAGCUGGGCUCCAGGGGAAACCAGUGGGGUGCAGUGAGGGCCUGGAGGCCCUGGACCUUGGCCUGUGGCUACGCCUGGCCUCUUGGACCUGGUUCAGGCCUGCUUUGGGAUGGUCCUAGGCUCCUGCUGGAUGUGCGGAACGUACUUGCUGAUUGCCCGGGAGGAUCUGACGAUCGAGUCAAAAAAUUAAGUCUAGAAAUCCUCAGAUCCAACUAGAGAAACCUAAAUGUGGCAGAGCCUUCAAGGAAUCUUCUAGUCUGGCCUCAAGACUCCAGGAAGAUGAGCACCCCAGAAUUUUUUCCUCCUCAGCCCUCCCUCCUACUCAUCGUCUCAGCACCUUCAUUUCUCAUUCUUCACAAAUAAUUUCUCUCCACCUGGGAAGAACCUGUAUGCCCCCAGCAUCCCACUGCAGGUUUGGAGGCCCUUUCCUUAAAUCUGGAAAUCACGCUGGGCCCCAUCUUCAGGUGGGCCCCCUCUCCUUUGGGCCCCGGGAUCUACAACAGAGCUGAACCAAGUGAGCAGAGCCUGGGCUCUGGCCAAAGGGCGGGGGCCCUGGGAGCAUCAUGGCUCCUGGCUGGGCGGCCCAGCGGGGCCCUCUGAGUGAGAUGGCUCCCAGUGGCGGGCCCAGUGUAGGGAACAGAGAAUUAAGUACGGUCUUAGGGUUCAACGUGAGAAUUGUAUUUUAUAAUUCUCGAAUUCUAGUCUAGGAUUCUAGUCCCCAAUUUUAAGUCUCUAUCUUACCAUCGUAGGGUUGAAUCCUACAACUUUUAGACUUCUAAGAAUGCAUUCUGUAACUCCGUUUCUCUAGAAUCUGUCUCUUCUGUACUUCUGUUACUCUAGUUACCUUUGGGCCCACGUCCCAUGCCCUUGGGAGUAUGGCCCUCACCUACAGACUCAACAGAAGGCCUUCAGCUCUUCCCACUUCCGUGAGUCCCGGAGAGGCUGGGUUGAGAGAGGGAAGGAAGCAGUGAGCUCCCAAAGAUGCUCCUCACCUUUUUCUUCUGCGUGGGCUCCUUCUCGCUGGCGUUGGAGGGCUUACGGCGCAACAUGGUCCUCUACCCUGGUGAUGCUCCGCCCCUGCGCUCGUAGGUAUCGAGAUGCGGAGGCCUCUUGCUCAGCCUCGCCGGCACCGUCCAGGGGGCACGGCAUGGACUGAGCCUCCGGCUGCCACUCUGACUGCUGCACUGGCAGCUUGGGGGUGCGGGCCAUGGACACCCGGCGGCAGCAGCAUACAGGAAGCCCCGUCACGUGACCUGCUCUUACAGCAAUCGCAGCCCCUGCCGGCCCCUAGGGAGGAAGGAAGUCCCAGCUUCAGUCUCCAGAGAUUCUGAUGCAGACGGCUCUUGGGUUGAACAAGCAGAGAAAAGUCCCUACCCUGCCAUCUCAUGGCAACCAUUGCCAGUCCUUCGGCCAGUCAACCUGACAUACGGCCUACUCAAGCCCUUUAUCUCACUGACCAGAGUCCCGAAACCGGAAGUGGGACCAUCUCUCUGCCUGUGGGGCCAAUGCUCCCAGUCACCUUGCAUCGCCAAGGUCAUCACUGCUAUCAGUCCCUCUCCUAUCACCCCAUAGCCAUCACUCCUAUCUACAGCCAUCAGCCCUGAAGUCAUCUCCACUGCUACUGGCACACCUACAGCCACCACUGCUAGAAAAACCAUCCCUACAGCCAUCACCCCUAUAGUCAUCACUGCUGCUAUCACUGUCACAACCAUCAUCCUCUCGGCUGUUAUCCUUACGGACAUUACAGCCAGUCACUCCCAUGACACUCUUACCCCACGACCAUCAUCCCUACAGCCAUCACCCCUACAACCAUCACCACACCCCUGCAGCCAACACCUUUCAGCUAUCAUCCCUGCAGUCAUUCCCACUGCCAUUAGCACCACUACAGCCAUCACUGCUAAAACAACCACCCCUGUAGUCAACACCCCUCGGCCAUCUGUCUCUAUCUGCCUCACCACUGCCACUAUCACCGGUACGGUGAUCAUCCUCAUAGCUAUCACCCUUACAGACACUAUCACUAUAGCCAGUCAUGCCCACUGAUGCCCUCACCCCUACAACCAUAACUCCUAGAGCCAUCUCUCCUCCACCAUCACCCUGCAGCAGUCAUCUCCACUGUCACCGGCACACCUGCAGCCAUUCUCACCAGAGCACUCACACCUAGAGUCAACAUCCCUUGGCCAUCACCACUUAUAUUUAUCACCACCACAGCCAUCAACAUGAAUAAAAAAGCAAUUGCAAGCAACUCCACACCACCAGCAAAUGUCCCUUUCAGCAGGCAUUUCUCGAAUGUCUAUGUGCUAAGUUUAGAAUGUUCGCUUUGUGGGUUAUCUGUGGCAGAUAUUUUAAUAACCUUAAUUACUUUUUCUUAUUACAAAAGCAAUUCAUAUGCGUCAUAUACGAUUUAGAAAACAAGGAUAAACAAAAUUCAAAAAUUCUCCGAAAUUAUCUUCCAUACUAUUUGCAUGAAUAUUUUUCUGUUUUUGAGCAUUUAACCUCUCUCUCCCCCCCCCCCGUGUGUGUGUGUGUGUGUGUGUGUGUGUGUCUCUCUCUCUCUCUCUCUCUGUCUCUCUCUCUGUCUCUCUCUCUGCAGCAUGAUUUGCACAGAGAGCAGAUCAGUGGUUUGGGGGGAUGGGGAGGGGAGGGAGAGAUCAGGAGGGUCACAAGGACCCUUUUGGGGGUGAUGGGUAGUUCACAAUCUUGGUUGUGGUGAUGGUUUCAUCGGUGUAUACAUAUGUAAAAACUGAACAAAUCGUAUACUUUUAAAAUGUGCAGCUUAUUGUAGUUAAAUUAUACCUAAAUAAAGCUGUUUUUAAAUUUUUAAAAAUUAAAGUCCCACUUCACACACUGCA